UGACAUAAGUGUCAUAAGUCUAUCUCCCACUUGUGCUUGCACAAAAGUGGGAGAUAGACUUCAUGACACGCCCCACAUGGAGCACGUAAGGACGCUUUAGCGGCCUGGGAGUGCGGAAUGUGGGAGAAUCGUGGGAUCGCCCUGCGCGAAACGAUUCGAUGGCA
Non-coding RNA from Lachnospiraceae bacterium JC7, 164 nucleotides. The record is from Rfam. NCBI's taxonomy places the organism in Bacteria, Bacillati, Bacillota, Clostridia, Lachnospirales, Lachnospiraceae.